This 1066-nucleotide long non-coding RNA is filed under the name Macaca mulatta (Rhesus monkey). RNAcentral describes it as "lncRNA (ENSMMUG00000061684.1)". The record is from RNAcentral. Lineage: Eukaryota; Metazoa; Chordata; Mammalia; Primates; Cercopithecidae.
GUGGAAAAAGAAUCAACAGCAAUAGAAACAUUUCAAAUUUUUAGAAAAUACAAAAUUGAAACUAACUAAAAAAUAUGGGGAUGAGGUGAGAGGUCAGAGGUAAAUGCUACAAAUUAUAUCACAUUUUGGCAACAAAAUCACUUAGACAUUAAGUUCCAUGAAAGCAAUAACAAUGCCUGUGGUUACUUUUCUUUUUUCGCCAAAACCUAAUAUUGGGGUUGUGCCCUUAAUAGCUGCUCAGUAAAUAUUUGUGGAAUGAAUAUAAAGAAAGACUAAAUUAUUUGUAGUCUGCUUGAAGGAUAGACUUUAGUCAACUACAGAUCAUCUUCCUGUUUAUUUUUCUUCAGGUGAAAAGCAUUACAUGCUAUGCUUCAUCAAAAUAAGAGGCUUAAAACAGUUAUUCUGAACAAGCAGCAUCACGACUGCAUGUUAUAUAUUUUCCAGAGGUGCAUAAGAAGCUAAAGCAGAGAAGAGUUUUUAAGUCAUCAAUAUUUGUACCCAUAGAGCUUGACCAGCAUUUCUGCUGCCCAUCACCUUGAGGAAGAUGCUUUCUCCAGGUUCAGCAACAUCACUGACUUUGCUUUUGGAGGAUCCACCCUGCAACCUUUUUACUCUUCGGAGUGUAAUUCAGAGUGCACUUCUUCAGGAACUCAUUCAACUAAAGACAGGCCCUACUGUGUGAGGUAGAGUGUUGAUGGACAUGGAGAGGAAGUGAGAAUGGUUGUAAUGAAGCGGUAUUGUUUGUCUGAGGUAAUACCCCAGGUUCAUUGCCUCAUACCAGGGAAAUCCAGGAUGUGGACACACAACGAGUGCGUUUAAGAGCAGAGGUUUAACAGGUGAAAGAAAGAGAAAAGAGAAAAUCUCUCUCUUGCAGAGAGAGAAGGGUUCCUGAGUGGGUCUCUGGUUCCAUGGUGAAAUGCAUGAGGUUUUAUAGACAGGCUUGAAGAGGCAGUGGUCUGAUUUACAUAGGGCAUGAGAGAUUGGUGGGGCCAGGUGUGCCAUUUGCAUAGUGCAUGAAGAAGCUGGCCAUCCCACCCAAAUCUUUUAUUAUACAGAUGGGGUCUCU